Molecule: long non-coding RNA, 1173 nt
Filed under: Medicago truncatula (barrel medic)
Lineage: Eukaryota; Viridiplantae; Streptophyta; Magnoliopsida; Fabales; Fabaceae
Description: lncRNA gene49175
Source: RNAcentral
UACCAAACAUAGUUCAAACCAUCUUAUUAGAGAGGAAGGUGAAUUCUUCCCUCCCUUUAAAGAACCACAGAGGAAAUUACUGCAAGAAACAAGGGAAAUCUUACCAUAAUGGAUACAUGUAUCGGACAUAAUACAAACACAAGCAUUUGACAGAAUACAAAAUCUUAGUUCAUCUAUAACUGCAAAGCACUUCUCAACCUCUAAUCUCUCCAACAUGGUGUUUUCCAAACGAUGUGCAUGUUUCGACUUCAGAUUUUCAUCAUCUCUGCUACAAACGCUCUUGUUGGAAGAAAAUCAUGCCAUGUCUCUUAUCAAUUUAUGAACCUUCAUUUGCUUGGAUAAAACCUCCAAACUUGUAGAUGUCAGCAAUAUCUUGCAACCAUUAUGAUCUUCACCAAAGGGGAUACCAAUCUCUCCUAAAUUGAGUCGACCAUGAAGAUCAUACAUUACAAUCAGGACUGUUUGCAGCUCUUUCAUCUUAGCACAAAGAAGAUCAGCUCUUUCUGCAGUUAUCAUUCUUUUACUAUUACCAAAACGCGUGCAACCAGUUGAUACGGCUACAUACGUCUUAUCAUUAAAAUUGAGACCUAUUGCAUUGCCAAUUUCUGUUUGAAUCUUUGUAAUGUCUGGCUUCUUUGUCACAGUUGUUGUGACAAUCUUUUGGAACGAAUGAUCUUUCUCUGCUCUUCUUAUAGCUGUUUGUGCAGAAUGCUCGACUCUUUUUUUUGGCCCGCAUAAUCCGAUUAUAUUUUCUCCUUGGUCUCUCACACUUAGUGCACUCAUAAUUUGUUCUUUAACCUUAUUAUCAAUAUAAAUGUCCACCCCACUACUCCCACAUAUCAAAUCCCAUCCCCGCUGAAACGACAUAAUGGCACAAGAAGUUACAACACAAUUUUUUGAUGAAACGACAUAAUGAUUAUUUUUAUCUUCAAUGUCACAGAAACAAAACUUUGGAGGUGUGAGCGUGAGUUUUUUUAAAUAAAAAAUUUGGAGGUGUGGAACUAAGAUGUGUUUGUGUCUUCAGGAUUCGAAGUUGGUUAAACAAAAUUAACUCAUUCAAUCGUUUGAUAGGAAAAUGAUACACAAUAGAAUAUUUUUAAAGGAGUUGACUCAUUCAAAGUGAGAUACUCAUUUUAGAGUGUAAAAUCAAGAAUAUUAAUGGUUGAUCUUCUC